GUCGCAUUACAAUGCAAAUAUACUGCAACUACAACAACACCAGAACUCUUCUGGUACAUCCAGAGAGCACAUUACAUUCCUAAAUACAUGCUGAGGAAAAACAAAUACGGAGGAGAUCAGGGCACUGAGUUCCAGGAGAGAUUUCACUCUGAAGUAUCAUUAGAUUCAGUUGCACUGACAAUCCAGAAUCUGCGUGUGUCUGACUCUGCUGUGUACUACUGUGCUCUGCAGCCCACUGGGACUGAAACCAACUCAGCUCUUACACACACAUUAUAAUGUUAAAUCAGUGCUGACCCCCUUUCUGUGAUACAAUCAGCCAUUUUCCUUCAUUCAUUGCCACACAUGUAUAUAUACAAAAUCUUAAUGUUAUUAUUAUAUCAAUAUUUUCAAUUCACCAAUAUAAUUCAUGUUAAAAUAGAAUAAAUGUUCAAUGACAGUCAAGAUCAAAAACAAAGCUUGCUCUAUGUUGCAGAAAAGGGGGCAGGUCUUGAUAUGACAAUCCACACCCACAUUAUUAAUACAAAGUACAUCAGUUCUUCAGUGCAUUCAUUAACCUAUGAUAUAUGUACUCUAUUAAAAAUAAUUAAGGUAGACUAUAAUUUAUCAUUCAAAACAACAUAGAAGGAUCAUCCACUUUUAAAAACAGUUCAGAUCUGAAAAAUCAAAAUGGAGCGAUAUUUAUUGAUCCUCAUAAUCACAUCAGAAACGACAAGCUGUGAUCAAAACCAAUUUAAACUUUUAAACUGAGGUUUCAUCAUGGAGGUAUGUCUGCUAGUGAUUCUCAUAAUUCCAGGUGUGUUUGCUGACAGCAUUAAACCAAAUGACAAGGAUACUAAUAUGAUCAAGAGAGAAGGAGAGCCUGUGACACUGAGCUGCACAUAUGAUACAAGCAGCAAUUAUGUUUAUCUCUACUGGUACAGACAGUACCCUAAUAGAGAACCUCAUUAUUUACUCUAUAAAGGUGCUCGGUCAUAUAGCAGUGAUAAGGAUAUACCAGACCGGUUUCAGUCAAUUACAUCCCAAACAUCCACUGAAAUCACUAUUAAGAGUUUAACUCUGUCAGAUUCAGCUCUCUAUUACUGUGCUCUGAGAGUUGGAGCCCAGUGAUACAAAAUGCCUGAGAAGCUUUACAAAAACUCAAACACACAAUUCUUGCUUUUAAAAUCAGUAAUCAAACAUUUAUAAUACCACAUGUACCACUGAGAUUGUAAAUAACAGAAUGUGGUAACACCUGCUGAACAAUCAAGGAGAGCAUGAAAAGAAGGGGAGAUAUGAUAAUGAACUAGAACAAAAUGUUGUUUUACAGCAAAAUCAAUUUGACAUUUCAUAGAAAAAUG
Cyprinus carpio (common carp) is the source of this 1337-nucleotide long non-coding RNA. NCBI's taxonomy places the organism in Eukaryota, Metazoa, Chordata, Actinopteri, Cypriniformes, Cyprinidae. The record is from Ensembl.